UUCAUUUUAUAUUACAUUAUUGGAGGGUGUCGUAUCUUUAUACUAUGAAAAGUUUUUAAUGAUUGAUAAAAUUUCGCUGAAAUUCUUGAUUAUAUUUUUCUGCCCACAACUUCAAAUUUAAAACUGUAUUUAAGAAGAUGGAGUUGAAUGACGGUAGAAUCAACUAUUUGUUUUUAUAAGAUCUAAGUUGUAUGGGUGAAACUCUAUCGUUUUGUUUAAUUUUCUACUCCAA
RNAcentral lists this long non-coding RNA (232 nucleotides) under Vigna radiata. Its description in RNAcentral is "long non-coding RNA (VRAD_LNC007382)". The record is from RNAcentral. Lineage: Eukaryota; Viridiplantae; Streptophyta; Magnoliopsida; Fabales; Fabaceae.